GGUUGAUCCUGCCAGUAGUCAUAUGCUUGUCCCAAAGAUUAAGCCAUGCAUGUCUAAGUAUAAACCAAUUUAUACGGUGAAACUGCGAAUGGCUCAUUAUAUCAGUUAUAAUUUACUUGAUAGUCUCUUUAUCAUUGGAUAACCGUGGUAAUUCUAGAGCUAAUACAUGCUAGGAGCCUGACUGCGCAAGCGGAAGGGCGGUAUUUAUUAGAUAAAAAACCGACGCCGGCAACGGCUCAUGGUGAUUCAUAAUAACUGUGCGGAUCGCUGGCGUGCCAGCGACGUUUCAUUC
This 292-nucleotide ribosomal RNA is filed under the name uncultured eukaryote. RNAcentral describes it as "partial 18S ribosomal RNA". It matches the Rfam family "Eukaryotic small subunit ribosomal RNA", at positions 6 to 300 of the family's 1831-position model. The record is from RNAcentral.